CGAAAAGCGAUGAAAGAGAAGAGUACAUAUUCAAAACUUUUCAGAGAGCUGAUAUGUGGUGGAAAUCAGUAAGGGAUGAAUAUGGAAUGGGCUCUGGAGCUUCUAACUGAAAUGAGUAGGUAAAGACGGUUGCUUCACGUUAAGAAGUUGAAGUGAGCUAUUCAUGAUAGCUAAUUAAGGUGGUACCGCGGGAGUCUCUCGUCCUUUUU
Molecule: non-coding RNA, 209 nt
Filed under: Bacillus anthracis (anthrax bacterium)
Lineage: Bacteria; Bacillati; Bacillota; Bacilli; Caryophanales; Bacillaceae
Description: T-box sequence
Rfam family: T-box leader
About the family: Uncharged tRNA acts as the effector for transcription antitermination of genes in the T-box leader family. T-boxes are found upstream of many aminoacyl-tRNA synthetase genes and some amino acid biosynthetic genes usually in Gram-positive bacteria.
Source: RNAcentral